RNAcentral lists this ribosomal RNA (498 nucleotides) under uncultured bacterium. RNAcentral's name for it is "partial 16S ribosomal RNA". It matches the Rfam family "Bacterial small subunit ribosomal RNA", at positions 29 to 507 of the family's 1533-position model. The record is from RNAcentral.
AACGAACGCUGGCGGCAUGCCUAACACAUGCAAGUCGAACGAGAGCGCCCGGUGCUCUUGCUCUUCAGUCUGGCGGCGGACGGGCGAGUAACACAUGGGUCACCUUCCCCUCUGACGGGGAUGAUAAUCGGAGACGACUUCUACUACCCCAUCAUUCUUCGAACCGCUUUGUUCAAGGGUUCUAUGAGCCGUACGCUUCUGCAUAAGCCUGUCUCCGCGUUGCUUUAGCUAGUUGGUGAGGUAACGGCCCACCAAGGUCGUGAUGCAUAGCUGACCUGAGAGGGUGAUCAGCCACAUUGGAACUGAGACACGGCCCAGACUCCUACGGGAGGCAGCAGUAGGGAAUCUUCCGCAAUGGGCGCAAGUCUGACAGAGCAACACCGCGUGAGUGAAGAAGGUUUUCGGAUCGUAAAGCUCUGUUGUUGGGAAAGAACAAGAGCUAGUGUAACUGUUGGGGUAUUGACGGUACCUAAAGAAUAAGCAACGGCUAACUACGUG